CCCUACGGGGGGCAGCAGUGGGGAAUAUUGCACAAUGGGGGGAACCCUGAUGCAGCAACGCCGCGUGAGUGAAGAAGUAUUUCGGUAUGUAAAGCUCUAUCAGCAGGGAAGAAAAUGACGGUACCUGACUAAGAAGCUCCGGCUAAAUACGUGCCAGCAGCCGCGGUAAUACGUAUGGAGCAAGCGUUAUCCGGAUUUACUGGGUGUAAAGGGAGCGCAGGCGGUACGGCACGUCCGAUGUGAAAGCCCGG
Molecule: ribosomal RNA, 251 nt
Filed under: uncultured bacterium
Lineage: Bacteria
Description: partial 16S ribosomal RNA
Rfam family: Bacterial small subunit ribosomal RNA
Source: RNAcentral